RNAcentral lists this ribosomal RNA (253 nucleotides) under uncultured bacterium. Its description in RNAcentral is "partial 16S ribosomal RNA". It matches the Rfam family "Bacterial small subunit ribosomal RNA", at positions 524 to 776 of the family's 1533-position model. The record is from RNAcentral.
UACGUAGGGGGCUAGCGUUGUCCGGAUUUAUUGGGCGUAAAGAGCGUGUAGGCGGCCAGGCAGGUCUGGUGUGAAAACUCGAGGCUUAACCUCGAGAUGUCAUCGGAAACUAUUUGGCUAGAGUCCGGAAGAGGAGAGUGGAAUUCCUGGUGUAGCGGUGAAAUGCGCAGAUAUCAGGAAGAACCCCACUGGCAAAAGCAGCUCUCUGGGACGGUCCUGACGCUGCGACGCGAAAGCGUGGGGAGCGAACAGG